RNAcentral lists this ribosomal RNA (498 nucleotides) under uncultured bacterium. Its description in RNAcentral is "partial 16S ribosomal RNA". It matches the Rfam family "Bacterial small subunit ribosomal RNA", at positions 28 to 507 of the family's 1533-position model. The record is from RNAcentral.
GACGAACGCUGGCGGCGUGCCUAAUACAUGCAAGUCGAACGAGAGCGACCGGUGCUUGCACUGGUCAAUCUAGUGGCGAACGGGUGAGUAACACGUGGGUAACCUGCCCAUCAGAGGGGGAUAACAUCCGGAAACGGAUGCUAAAACCGCAUAGGUCUUCGAGCCGCAUGGCUUGAAGAGGAAAAGAGGCGCAAGCUUCUGCUGAUGGAUGGACCCGCGGUGCAUUAGCUAGUUGGUGAGGUAACGGCUCACCAAGGCCGUGAUGCAUAGCCGACCUGAGAGGGUGAUCGGCCACAUUGGGACUGAGACACGGACCAAACUCCUACGGGAGGCAGCAGUAGGGAAUCUUCCGCAAUGGACGCAAGUCUGACGGAGCAACGCCGCGUGAGUGAAGAAGGUUUUCGGAUCGUAAAACUCUGUUGUUAGAGAAGAACAAGUGCUAGAGUAACUGUUAGCGCCUUGACGGUAUCUAACCAGAAAGCCACGGCUAACUACGUG